Long non-coding RNA from Passer domesticus (house sparrow), 751 nucleotides. RefSeq lists it as uncharacterized. The record is from RefSeq and is a predicted model, not a curated record. The transcript has 3 exons. Lineage: Eukaryota; Metazoa; Chordata; Aves; Passeriformes; Passeridae.
UUGGAAAGCAUUUUGCAAAGUCAUAAAGACAGUUUUCUUCUGUUCACUUAUACAGUUCCUUUGGUUGAGUUCAAAUUGGAUGCAAGUAGUACCAUAAUCAAGUAUUUCUGGUUUGGUCCUCAAGUAAUCAGAAUACAACUGAAAUCCAGAUGAUCCACAUAUUUUACAUCAGAGAGAAGAACAGAAUGUCUCAGCAGAUCCAGUAGUCUACCGGGCUGAUGUUCCGAGGCGCCUUAAACUCCUAAAGUCUGCUUCUAUUAAUGACAGAUUAAUCCAUCAAAACAUGCAGAGAAACAAGUCCCAGCCUCAUGGUCUCUGCUCACAAUUCAUUGCUCCUGAUACAAGAAUGAUCAUUUCUACCACAUGUCAUUUCCUCCUCAUCCCUGACUACCUGGUUGAAAUUCUUGAAUUGAGGAGAAUACUGACAAAUAUCAAAUAAUGUAUGCACCUUUGACACAACAUUGCAGAAAAAUAAAAAGUAAUUUCUACUAAAAUUUUUGAGCAUUCCAGAUUCACCAGUUUUUCUAAAAAUACCUCUUAGAUAACCCAGUAUUAGCAAAUUAAAAAGAACUGGAGAAUAUAAAGAAAAAAAAUGAAGAAAAACAGAAAAAAACCUGGCAACCUUUGACUGUAAAAGCUAUCAUUGGAGAGAUCACAUUAUGCUGUUAGUUCUAUAUAACACCUCACCUAAAACUUGUGGCAGUUAGAGAUAAUUCAACAGAGGAAAGCAGAAAGGCAGAGGUCUGCCUCA